This 533-nucleotide long non-coding RNA is filed under the name Hordeum vulgare. RNAcentral's name for it is "long non-coding RNA (HVUL_LNC001875)". The record is from RNAcentral. Lineage: Eukaryota; Viridiplantae; Streptophyta; Magnoliopsida; Poales; Poaceae.
ACAUCAAAAUCCUCUAGCACAAAACAAAGCAUAGCCUUCAAGAAACUAAGCAUUCCCCAUGCUCUCUAUAAUCGGUGCCGCUCUGAGUCUUCAAGUGAUCCUCAAAGCACACUCUAAUGCAACUUAGCAAGCCCUCGUGUGAGCGCCAUCCUGCCUCGGGACCACUUUCAAUUCCAAACAAGAUCAAGAAUUGUGACGCACAGCAGAGUCUUACCCGACCAGUAGUAGGCCCGCCUCUAGGAAAAAUAGUGUCGCCUACUCCUCUAGUCCCUCAUUGUCCCGAGAUGCACCAGCUCUACAAGUGAUCUUCGAAGCAACAAGCAUGGUGCUUUGGAUUGGUGUUCAGCGAAAGAAGGUUCUACACCUAGGUGAAUUAACACCAACCUCCCGCUUGAUCUUGUUUCGGGAAACAAGCAUAACCCACUAGUUAAAAUUGUAUGGCCUAUGUGGAAAGUGUUGAAUUGAUACUCAUGUUGCUAGAUUCACAAUCUAUAAGAUUAUUUGGAAGUUCUCAUCCUUGUAUAUUUGUUUGG